Long non-coding RNA from Mytilus californianus (California mussel), 779 nucleotides. RefSeq lists it as uncharacterized. NCBI's taxonomy places the organism in Eukaryota, Metazoa, Mollusca, Bivalvia, Mytilida, Mytilidae. The transcript is spliced from 3 exons. The record is from RefSeq and is a predicted model, not a curated record.
AUUAUGCUAAGAAACACUGGAUAUUGGUCUAUAAUAGACUAUUGAAUGGGGAAACCAGCAUGUACUAUUUGCACAUGGUCAUGGAUAACUAUUCUUCGUGACGAUAUCCGGGACCGGAGGUCGGUUUUUAAAACGCUUGAAUGAUUCAGAUGAAUGAUGCAAAUUGAAGACGCCGGUAGCCAAUUGCAACUGACAACAACUUAAACAAGUACUUGUUUCUGUUUAUUUAACGAGACAAACACAAUCAAGGAGUUAUGAACGCAUAGAAACUCGAGGAAAUAAAACAGAAUUAACUCCUCAGAUGUCAGUGGAAUGGAAGUAAUACACAUCAUAUGUUUCAAUGAAAUUAAUAUGAUUAAUGAUGGGAUAAGACGUAGAGGAGAUCCUAUAUCUACAAUACAUGUAUAUGUAAUUGCAAAUGUAUUCCAAGAGUUUAUGGCUGAUUAUGCAACUACAGGAUUUUAUCAUGGAAGCAACAUCUUAGAAGGAUAAGUGCAAAUGUAUGAAGGAAGCCUUGUGUAUAAAUACAUGUAGCAAUUACAUAUGCAGGAGAGAACACUUGAACAUUACUAACAUGUAGUCAUGAUAUGGGCGUGGUGCAUUCUAGAAAUCUAAACACCAGGAAUUAAAUAUUGUAUAUAUUUUUUUUCAACUACAAGUACUUUCAGUAUAUCAUACAAUUCUAAUUCAAAUUAUUGUGUCAACAUGACAGUUACUGUCUAAAAAUGGAAAAUGCUUGUUUUAAAAUGAAUUUUUUAUAAAUAUAUAAAUAACAAGAA